UUGUUAUUGGCAUUUCCAGUAGGGAAAACUCUUGGAAUUUCAUAGCCGUCACCCACUGUGGGUGGCGUAUCAUCAUAGAUCAACUCAAGAUGCCCAGAAGUAAAGCUGCUUACAAGCAACCACCAGUAUCCAUACCAAAAAUUGCUUUAUCAAUUGAAGCUGUUCACGAAGGAUUGGCAGUUCGAGCAGCAGCAGAACAGUUUAAUGUUGCACACACAGCCCUUCAGAGACCAUCUUCAUUAUCAAAAUAAGAGUGGUAGUGAACAAUUCUUCUACAGCAAUAAAUGUGCAGUAUGGGCAGUAUUCUGAAUAAAGGAGUAAGUAAGUUGUUCCAAUGUGCUGAACCGGCUUCACGGUACUGGAUGUCAUACCUGCAACACAGAAAGUUUUUGAAUAAAUGGGAUUUUCAGAACCAAUCAGUUUUAGUUAUCUUAUCACGGAUUCUGAUUACACAAACGAUUAUAAUUAUUUGCAUGUCU
Long non-coding RNA from Cryptotermes secundus, 479 nucleotides. RefSeq lists it as uncharacterized. The record is from RefSeq and is a predicted model, not a curated record. NCBI's taxonomy places the organism in Eukaryota, Metazoa, Arthropoda, Insecta, Blattodea, Kalotermitidae. The transcript has 3 exons.